This 3172-nucleotide long non-coding RNA is filed under the name Sinocyclocheilus anshuiensis. RNAcentral describes it as "lncRNA (ENSSANG00000008262.1)". Lineage: Eukaryota; Metazoa; Chordata; Actinopteri; Cypriniformes; Cyprinidae. The record is from RNAcentral.
UUUGCUUUCCAGAUGUGUUCCUAAAGUCUGUUUUACUUCACAGGACAAAGAAUCCAAAACCUUAGGAAGGACUGGUGAAAUAAAAACAGAAGAUGACACCCACAUGGAUGAAGUAGAGGAAAGGGAAGCUCAGCAGGACAAAGACUCCCGAAUACUUGUGGUGAAUUCUGAGAUAACAGGCAGCGGUAUGCCAUUUUUGGGAAUGGUCUUGCAUUUGAGUUCUUAAUGUUUGAGUCUUUCAUUAAAUAUUUGUUUUAUUGAAAAUGCUGUAUUCGUUGUCUAAAAUAAUGUUUACCCUGACUUUUAGAAGCAGAAAUCUACAAAGAGGGAGCAGAGAGCAUAGAGACUCAGCAGCAGUCUGAAAACAUAGAAGUGGUUGCUGGUUGCACGGAAGUGGCUGCUGAGGAGCAGCGUGAAAAGGUUGAAGAAGUGGAGCAGGUUCCAGAUGAGAAUGGCCAUUCUGAUGAACCAGCUGACAACAUAAAAAACUGUGAAGAAGUCUUUAAACAAGCAGCUACGCUUGCAAGGAGAAACUGCUCAUUGAUUGACCUUGAUAAACCAGAGCAAGAUGCUGUUGUUCAGAAACUUGCCUUAUGUCAUUGGGUGAAGGAGGAAGGGACAUUGUUUUCAGAGGGAGAAAUGUUACAAAGUAUUGUGAAGGUCAUACGAGAAACAAUCCUCACUGAAGUUCAGGACUCUUUUUUCUUUUCCAUCAUCACUGAUAGAGCUAUUUCAGUGGGUGAUGCAAAGUUCCUGCCAGUCUUUGUUAGAUAUGUGAAUGACUGCAUUCCUAAAGUGGAGCUUAUAGGAUUUCUGCCCUUUAAUGAAAGCUCCGAUGUGGAUUUGCAAGCUAAGGCUCUUUCAGCAACACUUGAAGAUGAGUGGGGACUUCAGAUGGGCUGCUGUCGUGGCCAGUCCAUCAUGUGUUUUGGUACGGGGAGCAAAAGUCUCAGGAAGAUGGCUUUGGGUUUUUUAGAGAGCUAUCCAUUAGCUGUGAACACUCCCAGUGAAUCUUGUGGACUUGCCUAUUGGCUGGCUUUAAGCCUACAAAAUACAUCCAUUACAAAGGUUCUAGAGACAGCUGAAGAUCUAUUACAGUUUUUUGACCAGUCACCCAAAUUAGAGAGUGAACUUGCCAAGACCAUGGAUGGGCUGCUGAAUACCCCACGGGAAGCACUUGCAGAGGUCCCAGAGACCUGCCUGUCCAGAUGGAAGAAGAGAGAAGACUUCUUUGAUAUUUUGGUGGACAUGCUGGAGGGAGUCCUGAACUGCUUAGAUUCUGUGAGCACCAACUCCAGUGGGUCAUGGAGUGAUAGCAUGUCACUGCAUUCCCAGACCCUGUCCACAGCUCUUAGACAGGUUGAUUUUAUCAUCCCCCUAGUGAUCUUGAAGAAUGCCUGUGCGCCCUUAAGGAAUUGCAGCACUGUGUUUCGCUGUGGAAACCCUGCUGACAUUAUUUGCGAGCUUGAGAAGAUAAUGCCAAUAAUAGAUACUUUUAGCAAGAUGUUGGGCAAUGUGAGUGUGGUGCAUUCUGUCUGGUUUGACGAGGCAGUGGAGCUUGCAACUAAGGUCAUGGGAUUGCUGUCUUAUGCGGAAUCUGUCAGUGGCUAUGAUUCACCAGAAACAUCUUACAUGGAAGCAGUUAGCUUACCAGUUCUAAAUGGUUUGAUUGAAGAAAUGAAGUUUAACUUCUCAGAGAAUCACCUAAAAGCCCUGAAAGUUUUGUCCCUUUUGCCAACGUGCAACCCUCUGUCUAUUCUCCCAGAAUCCACAGAUAAACUGCACACUAUAUACCUGAGUGAUCUCCCUGAACCAGAAACAGCGGAAGAAGACAUUAACACCUGGGCCACGGUAUGGAGGGAGAAGUAUCAAGAUGUUUGUCCUCCCACCUCCAUCUCUGAGACAUUGCUCCAUAAUGAAGCCAAAAACCUUCCAAAUGUUGCAACCCUUCUUAAGCUUGUGGCCGUGUUGCCCAGCAUUAGCAUGGAGUGCGAUCUAAUGAAGACAACGCUAAACUCUUUGAGGACCUUACUCAGAGACGGUAUCUUCAACAGGGGCAGUAAGACUGAUGCAGUGAUGCUUCUUAUGCAUCGCCAGACACUACAGAGCCUGGAAGAGGUGAUUGAGAAAUGCAUGGCAGGUGAUCCAGAAAGUAAUCAAUUUCUUGCUCAGGUAAAGUCAAGAGUUAAUCACCUGAGAAUGGAAGGUGGUAAGUAAGCUCAAAUGGGCUUUCAAAGUAAUGAAAUUGCUGUUGUGUUUUAUUCUGACACACUCUUUCCUGUCCCUUUCCAGAGGUGAUUGCCAUGGCUCCACAGGAGUUGGUUGUAGAUACAAAUGGUUCGGAUUAUCCACAAGAGGCAAAUGUUGCUGGAAUCGGUCAGUAAUGUUAAAUGAAAAAUAUUAGUAAUAAGCAAUUAUCUCUUUUUAUUAAAUAUUAUGUCUCAUCCUUUGUUUAGAUGUCGAAACGGCUGCUCCAGAGGAAAUUCUAGUGGAAACCAAUGACUCUAGUGAAAUAGAAAGAGCUGAAGAAAAUACACCUGACCAGCCAUCAUCUUUAACAGUUAGCAGCUCAGACAAAGCCACAACUGCAGCUCAAGUCAUCCCUGCUUGUAGCUCUCUGCCAGCCAGCACACCUGACCAACCAUCAGAAUCUGUCCAAGGUGCCGCUAUGCAAUCUACAGCAGCAGAACAUGAUAGAAGUGAUCAACUGAUCGCACUUGUUCAAGAUCUAAAUGAUAGGUCUGAAGUACUUGAUCAGUGUGGAAUUGGUCUACCAGUAACAGGGGAUCAAAUAGUAACUAAUCAAGGUGGAACUGAGCAGUCCAAUGAAGAAGAGCCAGUUAGCACUGUUCAGUCAGUAUCAGCUAAUCAAAGUGAAACUGAUCAACCUAUGGAAGUUGAUCAGUUUGUUGCCACAGAACCAGGUGAAACUGACCAGCCAGCAACAGAGGAACAAAGUGUACCUGAUCAGUUCACGGCAGUUGCUCAAGUUGAUACUGAUUCCUCCAUAGUUGCUCAAGAUGAAGGUUGUCACACAGUAACAGGCUUAGCAGAUGGUCAGUUUGUGUCAGAGGAUCAGAGUGAAUCUGUUCAGCUCAUGUCAGUGGAUCACAGUGUAAAUGAUAAGUUCGAGUCAGUCCUUCAAAGCGAAACUGAUCAACCCAUGGAAAUU